CAGUCGCCACGGGAAUACGAAGGGGGCUAGCGUUGUUCGGAAUUACUGGGCGUGAAGCGCACGUAGGCUGACAUUUAAGUCAGGGGUGAAAUCCCGGGGCUCAACCUCGGAACUGCCUUUGAUACUGGGUGUCUUGAGUGUGGAAGAGGUAAGUGGAAUUGCGAGUGUAGAGGUGAAAUUCGUAGAUAUUCGGAAGAACACCAGUGGCGAAGGCGACUGACUGGACAAGUAUUGACGCUGAGGUGCGAAAACGUGGGGAGCAAACAGGAUUAGAUACCCGCGUAGUCCCUGUCUCUUAUAC
Molecule: ribosomal RNA, 301 nt
Filed under: uncultured bacterium
Lineage: Bacteria
Description: partial 16S ribosomal RNA
Rfam family: Bacterial small subunit ribosomal RNA
Source: RNAcentral